GUUUAAGAUUGUAUACUUAGAGUUAGUUUUGGUUGGUAAAAUUUUAAAUGAACUAUAGGUUAGAGGUGUGGGCUUUCAGCACUGUGUUAGUUAAUUACUAUACAAUUGUCUUGCAUGAAAUUAAAAGAGUUCUUGAGAGGAGGAGGUUAGUUAGAAAAAAUUUUAAUAGUUUUUUUAUUUCUAAUUGUAUCUAUUAGUUUAUCGCCCACUAUUUGGGUUAGAAUUACGUUAAUGGAUGGUUUGAUUUCUCAACAUCAGCAGUUAAAUUUUGCGUAUUAUAGAGAUAUAGAGUAGGGAAUUGUCUUAAGGAGGGAUGAAUGGUGUGCCAGCAUUCGCGGUUAGACACCACCUUCAAAUUAAUAUUUUCGUAGGUCAGUAAAGUUUAAGUUAAUUAAAGUUUUAUCGGCGGAUUUAACGGUGAAAUGUGUAAUAAUCGUGGUUGGGUUUUAUUUCCAAUGGUGCUGUGUGUUUUGGGGCUUUAAAAAUUUAAGCUGAGGAAGCUGUUAUUAAAAACAAGGAUUAGAUACCCUUUUAUUUAUGUCGAAACUGGUUAUCUACGGGUAUAAUGAACGUUUUAAUAUGUUUUAUAACUUAUGAAAGUUGGCGGUAUUUUGUAACCUUUUAGGGGAACUUGGCGUUUAAAUCGAUGAUCCUCGAAAAUCUUACCUUUAAUUUUCCUUUCAUAUCGCCGUUGUUAGUGGGUUUUUAAAAAUUGACUCGCGUCGAACAAAUGUUAAAUUCUUUAAUUCAUUUAUAAUAAUUCAGGUAAACAUGUAGGUGUUUUAAAGGGAUUAGCUGAGUUACAAUUAUAAAAUAAAACGGAUGGAAGAUCUAUUAGCUUAAGUCUUAAUUAAGGUUUGUUGUUUAAUGUUCUGAAAGGUGUUUCUGAAGGUGGACUUGAUAGUAAAAUUUUUUAUAUGAAAGAAAUUUGAAUAGAGUACGAAAAUGUGUACAAAUCGCCCGGCGUCCUUUUUGUAAAAAGAGGUAAGUCGUAGCAUAGUGACGUUAGUAGAAACUGGCGUCGAUGAUAACAACAGAAGCUAUUAUAUAAGUUUUUAUUUUAUAAAAUUAGAAAGUUUUUUUGUUGUUUUAUAAAUGAACUAGGUUGUUUAUAAUAUGUCGUAUUUUGUGUUUUAUAGCUUUUAAUUGCGAAUACAUAUAUUAUAAACAAUAAUCCUAGUUAUGUU
Molecule: non-coding RNA, 1187 nt
Filed under: Meretrix meretrix (Asiatic hard clam)
Lineage: Eukaryota; Metazoa; Mollusca; Bivalvia; Venerida; Veneridae
Source: RNAcentral